AGUUGUAUCCUGGCUCAGGAUGAACGCUGGCGGUAUGCCUAACACAUGCAAGUCGUACGGGAGUUUUUAACUCCAGUGGCGGACGGGUGAGUAACACGUGAGUAUUUACCUUUAGGAGGGGGAUAACAGUUGGAAACGGCUGCUAAAACCCCAUAUGCUUUAGAGUCAAAUAGAUUUAUCUGCCUAAAGAAAAGCUCGCGGCUGAUUAGCUAGUUGGUAAGGUAAUGGCUUACCAAGGCGACGAUCAGUAUCUGGUUUGAGAGGACGAUCAGACACACUGGAACUGAGACACGGUCCAGACUCCUACGGGAGGCAGCAGUGGGGAAUUUUCCGCAAUGGGCGAAAGCCUGACGGAGCAAUACCGCGUGAGGGAAGACUGCCUAUGGGUUGUAAACCUCUUUUUUCAGGGAGGAAUAAAUGACGUGUACCUGAAGAAUAAGCAUCGGCUAACUCCGUGCCAGCAGCCGCGGUAAGACGGAGGAUGCAAGUGUUAUUCGGAAUCACUGGGCGUAAAGCGUCUGUAGGUGGUUGUUUAAGUCAACUGUUAAAUCUUGAGGCUCAACCUCAAAAUCGCAGUCGAAACUAUUCAACUAGAGUAUAGUAGGGGUAAAGGGAAUUUCCAGUGGAGCGGUGAAAUGCGUAGAUAUUGGAAAGAACACCGAUGGCGAAGGCACUUUACUGGGCUAUUACUAACACUCAGAGACGAAAGCUAGGGUAGCAAAUGGGAUUAGAUACCCCAGUAGUCCUAGCUGUAAACAAUGGAUACUAGAUGUUGAACAGAUCGACCUGUGCAGUAUCAAAGCUAACGCGUUAAGUAUCCCGCCUGGGAAGUAUGCUCGCAAGAGUGAAACUCAAAGGAA
RNAcentral lists this ribosomal RNA (860 nucleotides) under uncultured bacterium. Its description in RNAcentral is "bacterial SSU rRNA". It matches the Rfam family "Bacterial small subunit ribosomal RNA", at positions 10 to 909 of the family's 1533-position model. The record is from RNAcentral.